CUGAACAUAAGUUUACAAAACAAAACGAUAGAAGCAAAUCCUAUCAAGAUGUCAAAGAUCACCAUUCUCUUAUUCGUUGUCGCAUUAACAUUAUGCAUCGCAGUUCAAUUUAUCUCGGCUGCACCAACCUUGCAAGAGAAUGAAGAAGGACAAUUGGCUGGAUGUGGUCAUCAGGCUGCUCCGUGUAACAAGAAUUCAGACUGCUGCUUCUACUUGAAGUGUGACAAAUACGCAAAAUUGUGCUACCCUUAAAAUGGACAAAUCGAAAUAAAUGUACUUGGUAUAUAGAUUAACCUAAUACGAUUACUAACACAUUAUUAAUAUCGUUUUAUAGAUUUAUUUAAGUUUAU
Molecule: long non-coding RNA, 350 nt
Filed under: Polistes fuscatus (common paper wasp)
Lineage: Eukaryota; Metazoa; Arthropoda; Insecta; Hymenoptera; Vespidae
Description: uncharacterized LOC122523494
Source: RNAcentral